RNAcentral lists this ribosomal RNA (253 nucleotides) under uncultured bacterium. RNAcentral's name for it is "partial 16S ribosomal RNA". It matches the Rfam family "Bacterial small subunit ribosomal RNA", at positions 524 to 776 of the family's 1533-position model. The record is from RNAcentral.
UACGGAGGGUGCAAGCGUUGCUCGGAUUUAUUGGGCGUAAAGGGUAGGUAGGUGGUCUUAUUUGUCUAGGGUGAAAUCCUUGAGCUUAACUCAAGAAGUGCCCUAGAAACGGUAAGACUAGAGUCCUGGAGAGGGUCGUGGAAUUCCUGGUGUAGCGGUGAAAUGCGCAGAUAUCAGGAGGAACACCGGUGGCGAAGGCGGGUCUCUGGGCCGAUACUGACGCUGAGGCGCGACAGCGUGGGGAGCAAACAGG